Neopsephotus bourkii (Bourke's parrot) is the source of this 590-nucleotide long non-coding RNA. RefSeq lists it as uncharacterized. The transcript is spliced from 2 exons. NCBI's taxonomy places the organism in Eukaryota, Metazoa, Chordata, Aves, Psittaciformes, Psittacidae. The record is from RefSeq and is a predicted model, not a curated record.
AAAAAUUAAAGUCACUAGUUGUUUCUUUUGCUUUGCAAGAAAGGUUAAUCAAUAUUUCUGCUUUAGUAUUUCUCAUUUGGUGCCUUUCAGGGCCUGGGUCUCCUACUGAGUACUACUUCUGCCAGCUUCCAUGAGUUGGAUUUGAAAGUUUGAUACAGGAAAUCUGACAGAAGAUAUAUUAGGAAAAGUGCUGAAGGCCUCUUAAGGAGACCAUAUGUUUGAAUGCAUUUUAAGAUCUAAAAUUUUAACAAAAAAAUAUUUUCAUAAUUUGUUAACAUUUUGAGCCAUGAAAGUGAAGAACUGAAAUAACUGUGACUUAUGAUGAAUGCUUCAAAUCUUCCUUCAUUUUUCCACAAGCCAUCCUCCUUCCAGAAUACAAAGAAGGAUUUUGACAACUAUAAUGACUGAAACACAGCCUUAUUUUCAUCAUAGUGGCCACUGAUUCUUUUGUGACUUUGAUUUAAUUUGAUACCCAUUUCUUAUUUCUUUUGAAAUAUAGUGCAAAGUCAUAUAGAUGUGGCAUAUUUAAUAAAAAUCUCCUGACAUAUGUAUAUCAUUAAACUAAAAUGUGGCACUUUGGCAUUUGUAAA